RNAcentral lists this small RNA (28 nucleotides) under Bombyx mori (domestic silkworm). RNAcentral describes it as "ovarian small RNA-35386". Lineage: Eukaryota; Metazoa; Arthropoda; Insecta; Lepidoptera; Bombycidae. The record is from RNAcentral.
UGUAAUUGUAUAUAACGGAUUGAUUCAC